RNAcentral lists this transfer RNA (85 nucleotides) under Felis catus (domestic cat). It matches the Rfam family "tRNA". Rfam says of the family: Transfer RNA (tRNA) molecules are approximately 80 nucleotides in length. Their secondary structure includes four short double-helical elements and three loops (D, anti-codon, and T loops). Lineage: Eukaryota; Metazoa; Chordata; Mammalia; Carnivora; Felidae. The record is from Rfam by way of RNAcentral.
GCCUGGGUGGCUCAGUCGGUUGAGUGUCUGACUUCAGCUCAGGUCAUGAUCUCAUGGUUUGUGAGUUUGAGCCUCACAUCAGGCU